GCUGAAACCUGUUGGUGGAUUUAUCUCUCUCUCUCUCUCUCCAUAAAAGGACCUUUGCUAUAUAUCCACACACAAUCCAUUACCCAUCUCCACAUUCUCACUUUGCCACCUUCCAUUAUUUCUUUACACAGUCUUUAUCUCUUUCUCCAACAUAACCAACCAAAAGCCAAGCUCCAUCACUUACCCACUUCACAUAUCGAUCCCAAAAUGCCAUCAGAUACUUCCACCGAAACUCGAAAAUUAACCAAACCCCACACGACUGCAGCUCCACCACCAGAGCAAGAGCACCUCCCUUGCCCUCGCUGUGAUUCCACCAACACCAAAUUCUGUUAUUACAAUAACUAUAACUUCUCCCAGCCCCGCCACUUCUGUAAGUCUUGCCGCCGUUAUUGGACCCAUGGUGGCACCCUACGUGACAUCCCUGUUGGUGGCGGCACCCGCAAGAAUGCCAAGCGGUCACGUACUGCUGCUACAAUCACCGCCACAGCAGCUGAUAAUUUCUCAUUUCCCGCUACCCCUGUACUGGUGCCACUCAUGACCAAUCAAGGAACGUCCGUGCAGUUUGGCUGUGGUGGCGGCGGUGGCCAUGGGAAGGAUAGCGGGAGCAGCACCACAGGUGGUUCUACAGUGUGCGGGAGCUUUACUUCUUUGUUGAAUACUCAGGGGCCUGGAUUUUUGGCGCUUGGAGGAUUUGGGCUUGGUCUAGGGUCUGGGUUUGAGGACAUGGGCUGUGGGCUUGGGAGAGGGGUGUGGCCUUUUCCUAGUGUGGGCGAUGGUGGUGCUGGGGUUGGUGGUGGCCAUGGUGGUGCUACCGCAGGAAUGGGUAACACGUGGCAGUUUGAGAGUGGGGAUAAUGGAUUUGUUGGUGGGGAUUGCUUUCCUUGGCCUGAUCUGGCUAUUUCAACUCCUGGAAAUGGUCUUAAAUGAUGUUCUUCUUUGGGUUCUCUUCUGGGUUUUGGCCCUUUCCUUAAAAAAAAAAA
RNAcentral lists this unclassified non-coding RNA (980 nucleotides) under Hevea brasiliensis (rubber tree). Lineage: Eukaryota; Viridiplantae; Streptophyta; Magnoliopsida; Malpighiales; Euphorbiaceae. The record is from RNAcentral.